GACGAACGCUGGCGGCGUGCUUAACACAUGCAAGUCGAACGCUGAAGCUUGGUGCUUGCACUGGGUGGAUGAGUGGCGAACGGGUGAGUAAUACGUGAGUAACCUGCCCUUGACUCUGGGAUAAGCCUGGGAAGCUGGGUCUAAUACUGGAUACGACAUGUCACCGCAUGGUGGUGUGUGGAAAGGGUUUUACUGGUUUUGGAUGGGCUCACGGCCUAUCAGCUUGUUGGUGGGGUAAUGGCUCACCAAGGCGACGACGGGUAGCCGGCCUGAGAGGGUGACCGGCCACACUGGGACUGAGACACGGCCCAGACUCCUACGGGAGGCAGCAGUGGGGAAUAUUGCACAAUGGGCGGAAGCCUGAUGCAGCGACGCCGCGUGAGGGAUGACGGCCUUCGGGUUGUAAACCUCUUUCAGCACGGAAGAAGCGAAAGUGACGGUACGUGCAGAAGAAGCGCCGGCUAACUACGUG
This 472-nucleotide ribosomal RNA is filed under the name uncultured bacterium. Its description in RNAcentral is "partial 16S ribosomal RNA". It matches the Rfam family "Bacterial small subunit ribosomal RNA", at positions 28 to 507 of the family's 1533-position model. The record is from RNAcentral.